GGGGGAAGAAGGAUGGCUAGAUGGAUGGACAUAGGAGCCUCAGGAGAUAAAGCCAAACAGCCAUGUGCGAUCUUGGCGUCUGCAUUGCUGAGGCCUCAUGUCACCAAGAUCAACUUUAACGUGGUUUGUUUGUUUUGACUUGGGACAACUUUGUACCUUGUAACCCUGGAUGGCCUGAAACUUGUUAUGAAGGCUAGCCUUGUUGUCAGUUUGAAGAGAUUUGACUGUCUCAGUCUCCCA
Molecule: long non-coding RNA, 240 nt
Filed under: Mus pahari (shrew mouse)
Lineage: Eukaryota; Metazoa; Chordata; Mammalia; Rodentia; Muridae
Description: lncRNA (MGP_PahariEiJ_G0002735.1)
Source: RNAcentral